RNAcentral lists this ribosomal RNA (515 nucleotides) under uncultured bacterium. RNAcentral's name for it is "partial 16S ribosomal RNA". It matches the Rfam family "Bacterial small subunit ribosomal RNA", at positions 28 to 523 of the family's 1533-position model. The record is from RNAcentral.
GAUGAACGCUGGCGGCGUGCCUAAUACAUGCAAGUCGAGCGAAUGGAUUAAGAGCUUGCUCUUAUGAAGUUAGCGGCGGACGGGUGAGUAACACGUGGGUAACCUGCCCAUAAGACUGGGAUAACUCCGGGAAACCGGGGCUAAUACCGGAUAACAUUUUGAACCGCAUGGUUCGAAAUUGAAAGGCGGCUUCGGCUGUCACUUACGGAUGGACCCGCGUCGCAUUAGCUAGGUGGUGAGGUAACGGCUCACCAAGGCAACGAUGCGUAGCCGACCUGAGAGGGUGAUCGGCCACACUGGGACUGAGACACGGCCCAGACUCCUACGGGAGGCGGCAGUAGGGAAUCUUCCGCAAUGGACGAAAGUCUGACGGAGCAACGCCGCGUGAGUGAUGAAGGCUUUCGGGUCGUAAAACUCUGUUGUUAGGGAAGAACAAGUGCUAGUUGAAUAAGCUGGCACCUUGACGGUACCUAACCAGAAAGCCACGGCUAACUACGUGCCAGCAGCCGCAGUAA